This 350-nucleotide ribosomal RNA is filed under the name uncultured bacterium. Its description in RNAcentral is "bacterial SSU rRNA". It matches the Rfam family "Bacterial small subunit ribosomal RNA", at positions 355 to 722 of the family's 1533-position model. The record is from RNAcentral.
UGGGGAAUAUUGGACAAUGGGGGAAACCCUGAUCCAGCAAUGCCGCGUGAGUGAUGAAGGCCUUAGGGUUGUAAAGCUCUUUUACCAGGGAUGAUAAUGACAGUACCUGGAGAAUAAGCUCCGGCUAACUCCGUGCCAGCAGCCGCGGUAAUACGGAGGGAGCUAGCGUUGUUCGGAAUUACUGGGCGUAAAGCGCGCGUAGGCGGCUUUGUAAGUCAGAGGUGAAAUCCCGGGGCUCAACCCCGGAACUGCCUUUGAAACUACAUCGCUAGAGUCUUGGAGAGGUGAGUGGAAUUCCGAGUGUAGAGGUGAAAUUCGUAGAUAUUCGGAAGAACACCAGUGGCGAAGGC